RNAcentral lists this ribosomal RNA (848 nucleotides) under uncultured archaeon. RNAcentral's name for it is "bacterial SSU rRNA". It matches the Rfam family "Archaeal small subunit ribosomal RNA", at positions 85 to 922 of the family's 1478-position model. The record is from RNAcentral.
ACUGCUCAGUAACACGUGAUCAACUUACCCUAUAGAGGAAAAUAACCUCGGGAAACUGAGGAUAAUAUUCCAUAGUUGAAUCGGCUUGGAAAAGUUUUUCAAUAAAAGGGAUAAGGAAAAUGGUUCUUAUCUGCUAUAGGAUAGGAUCGUGCUCGAUUAUGGUUGUUGGUGAGGUAAAGGCUCACCAAGCCGAUAAUCGAUAGGGGCCGUGAGAGCGGGAGCCCCGAGAUGGGUACUGAGACAACGACCCAGGCCUUACGAGGCGCAGCAGGCGCGAAACCUCCGCAAUACACGAAAGUGUGACGGGGUUACCCAAAGUGUUCUAUUUAGAACUGUGGUAGGUGAGUAAUGUCCCCUACUAGAAAGGAGAGGGCAAGGCUGGUGCCAGCCGCCGCGGUAAAACCAGCUCUUCAAGUGGUCGGGAUAAUUAUUGGGCUUAAAGUGUCCGUAGCCGGUUUAGUAAGUUCCUGGUAAAAUCGGGUAGCUUAACUAUCUAUAUGCUAGGAAUACUGCUAUACUAGAGGGCGGGAGAGGUCUGAGGUACUACAGGGGUAGGGGUGAAAUCUUAUAAUCCUUGUAGGACCACCAGUGGCGAAGGCGUCAGACUGGAACGCGCCUGACGGUGAGGGACGAAAGCCAGGGGAGCGAACCGGAUUAGAUACCCGGGUAGUCCUGGCCGUAAACGAUGCAUACUAGGUGAUGGCACGGCCAUGAGCCGUGUCAGUGCCGUAGGGAAACCGUUAAGUGUGCCGCCUGGGAAGUACGGUCGCAAGGCUAAAACUUAAAGGAAUUGGCGGGGGAGCACCACAAGGGGUGAAGCCUGCGGUUCAAUUGGAUUCAACGCCGGA